This 466-nucleotide ribosomal RNA is filed under the name Preussia sp. GP-2006a. RNAcentral's name for it is "eukaryotic LSU rRNA". It matches the Rfam family "Eukaryotic large subunit ribosomal RNA", at positions 64 to 534 of the family's 3401-position model. Lineage: Eukaryota; Fungi; Ascomycota; Dothideomycetes; Pleosporales; Sporormiaceae. The record is from RNAcentral.
UCGGAUCAGGAUUGCCCCAGUAACGGCGAGUGAAGCGGCAAUAGCUCAAAUUUGAAAUCUGGCCCUUUCAGGGUCCGAGUUGUAAUUUGUAGAGGGUGCUUUGGCGUUGGCUGUGGUCUAAGUUCCUUGGAACAGGACGUCGCAGAGGGUGAGAAUCCCGUAUGUGGCCGCCAGUCUUCGCCGUGUAAAGCCCCUUCGACGAGUCGAGUUGUUUGGGAAUGCAGCUCUAAAUGGGAGGUAAAUUUCUUCUAAAGCUAAAUAUUGGCCAGAGACCGAUAGCGCACAAGUAGAGUGAUCGAAAGAUGAAAAGCACUUUGGAAAGAGAGUCAAAAAGCACGUGAAAUUGUUGAAAGGGAAGCGCUUGCAGCCAGACUUGCCUGUAGUUGCUCAUCCGGGCUUUUGCCCGGUGCACUCUUCUAUGGGCAGGCCAGCAUCAGUCCCGGCGGUUGGAUAAAUGCCUGUUGAA